RNAcentral lists this ribosomal RNA (544 nucleotides) under Escherichia coli. Its description in RNAcentral is "bacterial SSU rRNA". It matches the Rfam family "Bacterial small subunit ribosomal RNA", at positions 108 to 648 of the family's 1533-position model. The record is from RNAcentral. Lineage: Bacteria; Pseudomonadati; Pseudomonadota; Gammaproteobacteria; Enterobacterales; Enterobacteriaceae.
GAGUAAUGUCUGGGAAACUGCCUGAUGGAGGGGGAUAACUACUGGAAACGGUAGCUAAUACCGCAUAACGUCGCAAGACCAAAGAGGGGGACCUUCGGGCCUCUUGCCAUCGGAUGUGCCCAGAUGGGAUUAGCUAGUAGGUGGGGUAACGGCUCACCUAGGCGACGAUCCCUAGCUGGUCUGAGAGGAUGACCAGCCACACUGGAACUGAGACACGGUCCAGACUCCUACGGGAGGCAGCAGUGGGGAAUAUUGCACAAUGGGCGCAAGCCUGAUGCAGCCAUGCCGCGUGUAUGAAGAAGGCCUUCGGGUUGUAAAGUACUUUCAGCGGGGAGGAAGGGAGUAAAGUUAAUACCUUUGCUCAUUGACGUUACCCGCAGAAGAAGCACCGGCUAACUCCGUGCCAGCAGCCGCGGUAAUACGGAGGGUGCAAGCGUUAAUCGGAAUUACUGGGCGUAAAGCGCACGCAGGCGGUUUGUUAAGUCAGAUGUGAAAUCCCCGGGCUCAACCUGGGAACUGCAUCUGAUACUGGCAAGCUUGAGUC